CUCAUAUCCCCUCUCUCACACUCAUAGAUUGAAAACCCUAGCGCCGCCAUAAAACGCCUCACCAUCUCCGGUGGCGGCGCAACUCCAAACUACCCCAAAUCCAUACCACGUAACACCCAGGCCAUCCUAAAUCCUAUCCCCACAUUUAUUUCUGAAAAGUCCCAAUGAAAUUCCCCCAAUUCCAAAUUCAAAAAUUCAAACCCUAAUUUAUUCUAUUUUUCUAAUUCGGCACAAGUUCUGGCUCGUUUUAACCUAUAAUCUACGUUAGUCGAUUGCUUUUAAUGAGAGCAAUCGAUUAGCAUUGGUUUUAGUUUAUUCCGAGGAUGCCAGAUUUUGACGAACUCAUCGGAUUCCGGCCAAAUGUUCACUCCCAUCUUCGUUCAUAGAUUGGUUUUAUCUUGUUAAGGCAUUCCGACAUGAUUUGGUACUUUUCCCUCCUUGUUCUCACGAUUUCGUUCCCUGUAAUAUUUUUUUGUUUUUUAUUAUUAUUUUAUCUGCUUCAUUGCUUUGUCUAGUUUUAUUUAGCAGUUGAAUUCAUCUUAAUUUGGUAGCUACAUUAAGUUUAAUCGCAAAGUCUGAGUCGUCUAUUGUUUUCCACUUUCUGGAUUUGAUUUUUCUUUUGUGUGUGUGUGUUUAAUGAUUUCUGAUGGUUCUCGUAAACACUAUGGCCAUAAUUGACUCAGUUAAGAGGCCCGUUCAUUUUGGGUCUUGGGUUAACUUGACCCAGGUUAGUAAUUGGAAAGUAAAUACAAGGGUGUCCGGGGUCAAUUUAGGGAUUUGAGGGAAUCAUUUUCUGUUAGCAUAAAAGCUUCUAGAGGAUAGACUUAGAGUUGGUUUGUUAAGAGAUAAGGAGGGUCAGAUAUUUGGAAGGGUAAAAGGGGGAAAGUAACCAAAAAUUCGAGGGGUAAAAGGGGAAAUGGUUGUUUAACUAGGGCUGCCUUAGGCUAGUUAUUUAAGGACCUCUUUGGAUUCAUUUGAAGGGCAUCCAUUGACACUCUAAAAGAACAAAAGAAUUUUUGCAACAUUUGGACUGAAAUCAAUUUUGGAAUUGCAUGUUUGGCUUUACUAUUAGCAAAUAAUUAAAAAUUUCAAAGCAUUUUGACUCAUUCUGGGGUUUUAAAAAUGGUGUAAACAAGCUUAAUCCUGUUGCAUUGGUGUGCUGAACUACUGCUGUUGUUUCUUCCUAACCUUGGGCUUUUUGUCUUUGUUACUGUUGCUGAAAUCAGGUACCCUUUUGGACUUUAUUAAUAUGUGAGGCUUGAAUCUGAAGCAUGUUGGAAAUAUACACUUUAGUUGGCUGAAUAUCAACUCGUGUUGCUGAAAACUUAUCCUUAUUCUACAUUAAAUUAUGUUUCAUUACGUUAUUCAUUGUAUUUACUCAUGCUAUGUACAUUACAAUUUGUAUUGGGGUUGUAUUUGGACUUUAAGUUUGUCAUUUUGAUUUUAAUUUGGGUUGAACUUUUCUGUCAUGUGAUUAGUGUUGGACUGUUAUAAGAUGGUCUUAACUGAGAUGGAGAAUUGUCCUUGUUAGGCUUUGAUUGUAUUUGUUCAAGGUGAUAGUGAUUACUAGUGCAUAGUUAACUCUUUUCAUGGUUUUCUUUACUGUUUUAUAUGUUGGUUUGGUAUCUGAACAAAUCCAGGAG
Molecule: long non-coding RNA, 1643 nt
Filed under: Nicotiana tabacum (common tobacco)
Lineage: Eukaryota; Viridiplantae; Streptophyta; Magnoliopsida; Solanales; Solanaceae
Description: long non-coding RNA (NTAB_LNC014006)
Source: RNAcentral